GACGAACGCUGGCGGCGUGCCUAAUACAUGCAAGUCGAGCGGACGAUUCGAAAGCUUGCUUUUGAAUCGUUAGCGGCGGACGGGUGAGUAACUCGUGGGCAACCUGCCCUGUAGACGGGGAUAACACCGAGAAAUCGGUGCUAAUACCGGAUAACACGAAAUGUCGCAUGACGUUUCGUUGAAAGGCGGCGCAAGCUGCCGCUACAGGAUGGGCCCGCGGCGCAUAAGCUAGUUGGUGAGGUAACGGCUCACCAAGGCGACGAUGCGUAGCCGACCUGAGAGGGUGAUCGGCCACACUGGGACUGAGACACGGCCCAGACUCCUACGGGAGGCAGCAGUAGGGAAUCUUCCGCAAUGGACGAAAGUCUGACGGAGCAACGCCGCGUGAGCGAAGAAGGCCUUCGGGUCGUAAAGCUCUGUUGUUAGGGAAGAACAAGUAACGUAGUAACUGACGUUACUAUGACGGUACCUAACGAGAAAGCCACGGCUAACUACGUG
This 498-nucleotide ribosomal RNA is filed under the name uncultured bacterium. RNAcentral's name for it is "partial 16S ribosomal RNA". It matches the Rfam family "Bacterial small subunit ribosomal RNA", at positions 28 to 507 of the family's 1533-position model. The record is from RNAcentral.